CUGCUGGGGGUCAGUUGGGAAGGGCCAGGUUCCUUCCGCCGCUAUUCCACGCUGCGGGGUCGCUCUGGGGACGGCGGGGCUGCCGCGUCAGACGGGGCUGCUUUGUGGGCUGUGGGGCAGACGACCUGGGAGUCCCAAGAGGAUCUCGAAGGCUCGGUUGUGGCCCGCAGAGGCCUCGGACUGGCGAGUCACAUGUGUGCAAAGAACACCAGAGCAGUUGGUGCUGCAUUUAUUAGAGUGACUUUGGCCCUUGAGGCCAUCCCCCAGAUAAACUGACCAGUGAAACAACUUGAGGGAUGAAGGUUUGAAUAACCAAGUUGACAUCAGUGUCUCCAGAAUCCUGAAUUAUAUACAAUCAUUACUAUGUGGAAUGAAAAGAAAGUGAAUAAAGAACAAACAUUCAAGGCUCCCUGAA
Long non-coding RNA from Ictidomys tridecemlineatus (thirteen-lined ground squirrel), 415 nucleotides. RefSeq lists it as uncharacterized. NCBI's taxonomy places the organism in Eukaryota, Metazoa, Chordata, Mammalia, Rodentia, Sciuridae. The record is from RefSeq and is a predicted model, not a curated record.